GUAUUAGGUCCGUAGUGUGUGUUUGGGUUCUGCCAGGUUGACACUAAUUGCUUAUUUUGUGACGUGUUGGUGGCAGAGGCGAGGGCAUCGGGGCUGGUGACACUUGGCUUACAGGAGCGGCACUGCCUCACCUUCCGGCAAUGUCUGGGCCCCAGCGUGGACUACUCAAGAAUGUCCUGCCGCCCGUGGGACCCCCGGGCUUGCCUGGGUCAGCACGGCGUGGAUGGGGUUCUGGGGGGCUGACAGUGGGGGGACGGAGGGACUACACCCCAGUGUCAUGGAGGAAGUACUGGGACUCCUGUCAAGAUGUGACUCUGGAAGGUGGGGACGUGUUCCGAGUGUACCAGCGAGGUUCAGUGGGACCGCUGCUGCUGCUGCUGCAUGGGGGUGGAUAUUCAGCCCUCACUUGGUCACUCUUUGCUGAGAAUGUGACGGAGAUGGUGGAGUGCCAGGUGUUGGCAAUAGACCAGCGGGGCCACGGAGACACCCACACCACGGAUGACGGUGAUCUUUCUGCCUCUACACUUGCCAGUGAUGUCGGCCGAGUGGUGGAGACCAUGUAUGGGGCUCAGCAGCCGCCUUGUGUGCUCAUCGGCCACAGCAUGGGCGGAGCUGUGGCUGUGCAUGCAGCUUACCAUCAGCAUGUAGCCGGUCUAGCAGGACUGAUUGUGAUAGACGUGGUGGAAGGAACAGCAAUGGACGCCCUCAGCUCCAUGCAAAGUUUUCUACGAGGACGUCCAAACAACUUUAACUCUCUUCAAAAUGCUGUUGAAUGGAGUGUACGUUCUGGACAGACAAGGAAUGUUGAGGCAGCCAGAGUGUCCAUGCCUGGCCAAGUUAAAAACGUGGAGACAGGCAAGUGUGGCACGGUUGACUUGGAAAACAUGGAUGAGGCCCCCAAAGAGCCUCCCACUGAGGGGCGGCGAGGCUCCACGGUGAGGGCUGACGUCAUCAUGGAGGAAGGUUCAGAGGCAGACCCUUCCAGUGAGGCCUCCUCUGCUUCUGAUAGCAAGUUACCAGUCACAAAGUACACCUGGCGAAUAAAUUUGGGAGAGACUGAGAAGUUUUGGGCUGAGUGGUUCCAAGGCUUGUCUUCCAAGUUUCUGUCAAGUAAUCCAGCUAAGAUGUUGUUGCUGGCAGGCAUUGAUAGACUGGAUACAGACCUUACUGUGGGGCAAAUGCAAGGCAAGUUCCAGAUGCAAGUGUUGCCUCAGUGUGGACAUGCAGUGCAGGAGGACACCCCUGACCGUGUGGCGGAGGUGCUCGCCACCUUUCUGCUGCGCCACAGACUUGCCACGGCCAAGUCUGAGUUCCACAGGCUUCCAGAUUGUUUAUCUCAGCAACUCUUCCGUUAAGAAAUGCCACACCCUCCUGAUCUCAUCUAUAUCCUCCAGCCAACAUGCAUUGAUACUUUCCUGCUGCUUUGUAUGGUCAUGUGUUAACUGUUGUGUUUUUCCCUUGAUCUGUGUCACAUUUACUUUAACCUUCUAGCUAUUGCAAAAUACAACAGCCAUAUCUUUAACUGAUAGGACUCUGUAUUUCCAGAGAAGAAACUUGUACACUUGCUCAUCCGUGCAACUUUAACCAUGCAGCAUUAACACAGUAGUCUAGCUAGCACUGGCAUGUUAUUUGGCAGUGUAACACCAAUACAUCAAAGACUAAAAUGUGACUAUGAAAAAUUUGCAUUCUUUACAUAUAGACUAGAGGAGUUAUGACACAAGGAGCAAUAAUUUGCAUUAAUGAUCUCUAUCAUGUACAGAGGCAUACAUUGUAUCAAACAGUUUGCCCAGUAAAGACGUCACUUUUGUGAAUCUUAUGUCAAUAAAUUAAGUGAAAAUUAGUAUAAAGACUAAUUAGAUAUUUAAUGUUUCAUAUAAAGAGUUUUAUGGAUACCAGAACCCAGUAGAUGAUAGCAAAGAGUGAUUUUUAAUAUCUGAAACAGAAGUAGAAUGUGAUAUCAUUACUUUGUAUAGCAGUACAAAUAACAAGCAUUGAUAUGAUUUACAGGGAAAACAUGUAUACAUACUUACCUCUUGCUGUCACUCAUCACACAACUACCAAUCAAAAAAUUAUUCGUGCAAAUGUCAGGUCACACUCAUUCCUUUUGCAAACAGUUAUAGAAUGGAAGUCUUUAUCCUCAACUUGUAACAUAUUUCUAUAGUAGAAAUCACAACGUUUGAUAGUACUUUAUCACCAAAUAGCACAAAAAUUCUUUGUUUCUUUAGCUUUCUUCUCACCUCUACAUCCAUCCUUAGCAACCCUAUCCACCAGUAACCAGCAAAAUGAGUUUCCCUGCGUGCUGAUAGUGAUAGUGUUGACAGUGGCCAGUGAGGGGACAGGACAGAGCAUCUACACACACCACAAGGGUCAGAAAGCAGGUAUAAAAACAUACUGCAUAUUAUCUUCUUUUGUCCGAGUAACUUUGUGCGUAGCUUAGUACAGGUAUUUUGUCUGUGGUCAAAAAUAAUGUUUUAUGCCAUCAGGUCCCUUUGGGUUAUAUAAUAUAUAUAUAAUUGUACUCAAGAAUUAUGUCUUCAUGUCUGGCACUUAUAUAUUACACAAGUAGGUCUUAUUUGUGCAAUUGACACUUGUAGGAUUCAGCUGUGCAUCUGUUAUGUAUAUGAAACAAUUUCCUUGGUGAUGUUUCUGCUGCUUGUCAGUAGUCUCAAGGAAGGUGGAAAUGCUGUACGAACCAGUCGGAGCAAAGUAUUAAGUAGAGCAGAUACAAACAUGGUCACUCUAUUCUUGUACUUUCAACAAGCUUUCAACAUUAUUUAUAAGUAUAUAUUCUACACAACGAGAUGAGGCAUCUAGUUCUUUUGUGGGAAAGGACUUUAAUGAGUAAGAUGACAGUACCUUUUGUUUACCUUUAUCAUUGACAUAUCUACAUGUUCGGAAAUAAUUAUAAUAAAAUGUAAGAACGCCAACUGAUGUGCUGUUAAUGCCUCAUGUAUAUUGUGCUCUUUUACUAUGUUAACAUGACACAAAAAUAUGAAAAUAUAACUGUACUGUCUGUGUUUGAGCUGUUUUAAAGUGUGGACAUCUGCAUGUAUACUACACAUUAAAUGACUAAUGUAUAAA
RNA transcript from Portunus trituberculatus (swimming crab), 3081 nucleotides. It is a transcript of the gene named protein phosphatase methylesterase 1-like, with no coding region annotated. NCBI's taxonomy places the organism in Eukaryota, Metazoa, Arthropoda, Malacostraca, Decapoda, Portunidae. The record is from RefSeq and is a predicted model, not a curated record. The transcript is spliced from 11 exons.